RNAcentral lists this long non-coding RNA (291 nucleotides) under Eucalyptus grandis. RNAcentral's name for it is "long non-coding RNA (EGRA_LNC007202)". Lineage: Eukaryota; Viridiplantae; Streptophyta; Magnoliopsida; Myrtales; Myrtaceae. The record is from RNAcentral.
GGAUUUAUAAGACGGUCUGAUAGUUCAGACGAGCAACAGAUGAGAAUGACAGAAAGUGUUUUGAACUCAUUAUUGUCUACAUCAAAAGGGACAUCCCUAGGAUCCAUAACCCAUCUCAUAUAAUCAGGUGUCAGGCCCUUUCAACGUGUCUAAAGUUUAACAUUUAUGCUCAAUAGAUACAAUUCGGCUCUUCUAGGCUUCUUCGUGCUGAACCCUCAUGGCAUCAAGAUAAGCUUUGCCCUGCAGCUUGCUCGUUAGAUAGCCCCUCAGAUGUUCUGCCACCGUUAUCCU